AUCGCUUCUCGGCCUUAAGCUAAGAUUAAGUGUAGUGUCUUUUCUUAUCCGUUUAAUAUCAGAUACCUCCCCUAUGUGAGAACUAUAUAUUUAAUGGAUUUUUAGAACAGGGAAAUGGAAAAGAGCUUUCUCUGUCACUCUACCCAUGACAUGGUGCUGCAGUACCUCCAGGACCGGUGCUCCUGUC
This is a small nuclear RNA of Spea bombifrons (plains spadefoot toad), 187 nucleotides long. RefSeq annotates it as U2 spliceosomal RNA. The record is from RefSeq and is a predicted model, not a curated record. The transcript has a single exon. Lineage: Eukaryota; Metazoa; Chordata; Amphibia; Anura; Pelobatidae.